Long non-coding RNA from Platichthys flesus (European flounder), 508 nucleotides. RefSeq lists it as uncharacterized. The record is from RefSeq and is a predicted model, not a curated record. Lineage: Eukaryota; Metazoa; Chordata; Actinopteri; Pleuronectiformes; Pleuronectidae. The transcript is spliced from 4 exons.
CCUGUGUUGAGCAGUGUAAUCUCAGAGACCGUUAGCAUUAGCAUUAACAUGUGUCCCUGACAGGACACUGGGACAAGACAGAUCUGCACUGACACAGACGAGUCAGACCUGUAAAGGUGCGGGAGCUUCUGUCGGCCCUGAGCAGCAUCUGCUGACAUCCUGAAGAGGAACCUCCACCAAGACGAUACACGUCUGUGACCUGAGAGGCAAAACCCUGAGGACAAGAGAUGAAAGCUAAUUACGCGGCGUGGCGAGGAGCCGGGGCGGCGCGCGCGAUGCAGGAAACCGGGAGCCGAGGUGGUUAAUUGGGUGUGAUCUCUGGUGUAGGCAGAGGUGCGUCUGGCCGCCCACACCGCUGGCACUCCUGCCCAUGCAGCACCCACAGCACCGACCCAUUAGUGGCGUGGCAGUCUACCCACAUCUCCACCACCUUCAUUAGUCAUUCAGCUCCUUAUUUUUGUUUGGUUUCCCCUCUGGCUCCUAAUUAAUGCUUAAUCGAAACUGCUGA